AGAUGGCGACCGGCGCACGGGUGAGUAACACGUAUCCAACCUGCCGAUAACUCGGGGAUAGCCUUUCGAAAGAAAGAUUAAUACCCGAUGGUAUAAUCAGACCGCAUGGUUUGAUUAUUAAAGAAUUUCGGUUAUCGAUGGGGAUGCGUUCCAUUAGGCAGUUGGUGAGGUAACGGCCCACCAAGACUACGAUGGAUAGGGGUUCUGAGAGGAAGGUCCCCCACAUUGGAACUGAGACACGGUCCAA
RNAcentral lists this ribosomal RNA (247 nucleotides) under uncultured bacterium. Its description in RNAcentral is "partial 16S ribosomal RNA". It matches the Rfam family "Bacterial small subunit ribosomal RNA", at positions 86 to 334 of the family's 1533-position model. The record is from RNAcentral.